Molecule: ribosomal RNA, 1192 nt
Filed under: human gut metagenome
Description: bacterial LSU rRNA
Rfam family: Bacterial large subunit ribosomal RNA
Source: RNAcentral
GAGUGCGUAAUAGCUCACUGGUCGAGUGACUCUGCGCCGAAGAUUUAACGGGGCUAAACCAUACACCGAAGCUUAGGAAUAUACUUUUAGUAUGUUGGUAGGAGAGCGUCGUAUACGGGGUGAAGUUAUAGCGGAAGCGAUAGUGGACUGUAUAGGAGUGAGAAUGCCGGAAUGAGUAGCGAGAAUUAUGUGAGAAUCAUAAUGGCCGAAAGACUGAGGUUUUAGAAGGAAGGUUCGUCCGCUUCUAGUUAGCCGGGGGCUAAGGCGAGGCCGAGAGGCGUAGUCGAUGCACAUACGGUAGAGAUUCCGUAGCCACCUUGAAUUUAAACUGAGGGACACAUUGAAAGGGUAUAUCCCGGGCGUUGGUUGACCCGGGCGUAAGGGAGCUAACAUAUCAGCGAAGUAUACUUGGACAGUGGCGAGAAAAGCUCAGUGUAUAUAGUCAGGGUGCCCGUACUGCAAACCGACACAGGUAGUCAGGAAGAGAAUUCUAAGGCCAACGGGAGAAGGGUAGUUAAGGAACUCGGCAAAUUGACCCCGUAACUUCGGAAUAAGGGGUGCUCACGAGAGUGAGCCGCAGUGAAUAGGUCCAGGCAACUGUUUAUCAAAAACACAGCUCUCUGCUAAAUCGUAAGAUGAUGUAUAGGGGGUGACACCUGCCCGGUGCUGGAAGGUUAAGAGGAGGAGUGCAAGCUCCGAAUUGAAGCCCCAGUAAACGGCGGCCGUAACUAUAACGGUCCUAAGGUAGCGAAAUUCCUUGUCGGGUAAGUUCCGACCCGCACGAAUGGUGUAAUGAUCUGGACACUGUCUCAACAAUCCACCCGGCGAAAUUGUAGUACCGGUGAAGAUGCCGGUUACCCGCGGCAAGACGGAAAGACCCCAUGGAGCUUCACUGCAACUUGAUAUUGGGUUUCGGUAUUCUAUUUACAGGAUAGGCGGGAGACUGGGAAGCAAGCACGCCAGUGUUUGUGGAGUCAUCCUUGGGAUACCGCUACUAGAGUAUUGGAAUUCUAACCUGCGGCCUUGAAUCAGGUCGGGGGACAUUGUCAGGUGGGCAGUUUGACUGGGGCGGUCGCCUCCAAAAGAGUAACGGAGGCGUUCAAAGGUUCACUCAGCAUGGACGGAAACCAUGCCUUAGAGUGCAAACGCAUAAGUGAGCCUAACUGCGAGACUGACGGGUCGAGCAGUAACG